Molecule: long non-coding RNA, 389 nt
Organism: Lutra lutra (Eurasian river otter)
Lineage: Eukaryota; Metazoa; Chordata; Mammalia; Carnivora; Mustelidae
Exons: 3
Source: RefSeq, a predicted model, not a curated record
UCCUUGAGGCACCCUUAGAAUGAAGAUAAAGCAGAUAAUAAAAUACUCAAGUGGCAAAUGAAGAAACAGGUUCAGAGAGAUUAAAUGACUCGUCCAAGUUGUUCAACAAAUCAAUAUAAACACUGGAACUUGAACCUAGAUCUUCUCACUCAGUGCUUUAUUUUUAUGAUUCUGCCAUGAACCUCACAAAUGGAUUUUCAUCAUCUUUCACUGCUGGUUCCAGUCAGAACAAGAAAACAAAGAACAGAGAUUUAAUUUGGUGUUAAGAAGCACAGAAGAUGUUUUGUAUGGAAUUACAGAGAUGGUCAAGGUGGCUCCCUGAGGACAGCUGGGUUUAUUCACAAAGUUGAGCCCUGUGAGCAGAAGAGGCACCCACCUGAAUCUUCAUC